AGCGUGGGGUAGCAGCCUGGG
This 21-nucleotide unclassified non-coding RNA is filed under the name Chlamydomonas reinhardtii. Its description in RNAcentral is "small RNA Cre_0493". The record is from RNAcentral. Lineage: Eukaryota; Viridiplantae; Chlorophyta; Chlorophyceae; Chlamydomonadales; Chlamydomonadaceae.